GAUGAACGCUGGCGGCGUGCUUAACACAUGCAAGUCGAACGGAAAGGCCCUGCUUUUGUGGGGUGCUCGUGUGGCGAACGGGUGAGUAACACGUGUGUAACCUGCCCUUGUCUUUGGGAUAACUUCAGGAAAAUGGGGCUAAUACCGGAUAGGAGCUCCUGCUGCAUGGUGGGGGUUGGAAAGUUUCGGCGGUUGGGGAUGGACUCGCGGCUUAUCAGCUUGUUGGUGGGGUAGUGGCUUACCAAGGCUUUGACGGGUAGCCGGCCUGAGAGGGUGACCGGCCACAAUGGGACUGAGAUACGGCCCAGACUCCUACGGUAGGCAGUAGUGGGGAAUAAUGCACAACGGGCGGAAGCCUGAUGCAGCGACGCCGCGUGCGGGAUGACGGCCUUCGGGUUGUAAACCGCUUUCGCAGGUGACGAAGCGAGAGUGACGGUAACGGGUAAAGAAGCAACGGCUAACUACGUG
Molecule: ribosomal RNA, 468 nt
Filed under: uncultured bacterium
Lineage: Bacteria
Description: partial 16S ribosomal RNA
Rfam family: Bacterial small subunit ribosomal RNA
Source: RNAcentral